Molecule: non-coding RNA, 294 nt
Organism: Vicia faba (fava bean)
Lineage: Eukaryota; Viridiplantae; Streptophyta; Magnoliopsida; Fabales; Fabaceae
Source: the annotation of a GenBank genome assembly
AUGAUUAUAAGCCUAAAUACUUCUUAUUUGAUUCAAUUCUCUGCCCUUUCCGCUUACGAUUCCAAUUCAAACUCUCAUACUUUCAUCGAUUCAAUCAUAACAGCAAAAGAUGAUAUAUGUUACCAGAAGGGAUUAAAGAAACGUUACCUACCGGCGAUGAUGCCAAUUCCUUUUCAACACCGCUGCGAAGAUAAGAACUCCAAUGGUAAGCUCUUCACUCGUUUCCCUUUCUUUGCUUCUGAACUCCUUUAUCGUCGCUUCCUGUUGUUAUCUGAAAUCUCGGUUAUAUCCUGA